RNAcentral lists this long non-coding RNA (525 nucleotides) under Betta splendens (Siamese fighting fish). RNAcentral's name for it is "lncRNA (ENSBSLG00000019032.1)". The record is from RNAcentral. Lineage: Eukaryota; Metazoa; Chordata; Actinopteri; Anabantiformes; Osphronemidae.
AAAUAAAAUUUAACAUAAUCUAACCAAACGUAAUGACUGUUUGAAAGGGUUCAUCUACAAUUUAGGACAGACUAACUAGUCUGGUGGUUUUACCCUUAGGUCCCUCUGUGCCCCCACUGCCCCUUCUAAGGCAAAGAUCUCUUCUACGACCAUCAUCAUCAUCAGUUCCAUCCAAUUGUGGAGCACCACCUCCUCCCCUUCCUCCUCCAGUCCCUCCACACACUGCUCCCCUAAUACAAGCUUAUGGAAUGAACACAGGAAAGUCGACACUGCUGAGUCAAGUCAAAGAAGGGACCCAGCUAAAGGUGGCGCAAGAAAACUUGCCAGUAUCCAACACCAGAAGUCCGUCUAAUGAUUACGCAUAUCAAUCUGAUCCUACGCUACUGAAGGCCACGGGCAACAUUAAAAGCCCACAGAUCAAUGACUCUCAGGUGAACAACACUGUUUACUCUACCUCCCCUAAGAGGGAGACAGAGGGCAGCAGAAGGCAGUGGGAGAGUGGCACAACAAGCAACGUCCGGUAAG